This 812-nucleotide ribosomal RNA is filed under the name uncultured bacterium. RNAcentral describes it as "bacterial SSU rRNA". It matches the Rfam family "Bacterial small subunit ribosomal RNA", at positions 28 to 855 of the family's 1533-position model. The record is from RNAcentral.
CCUGAACGCUGGCGGCGUGGCUAAGACAUGCAAGUCGGACGGGGCGGCCCGCAAGGGCCGCCCAGUGGCGGACGGGUGAGUAAUGAAUCGCUAACGUACCCCGGGCUCCGGGAUAGCCGGCCGAAAGGCCGGGUAAUACCGGACGACACCCCGCCGAGGCAUCUCGGCGGGCUCAAAGGCCGCAAGGCCGGCCCGGGAGCGGGUGAUUUCGUAUCAGCUAGUUGGUGCGGGUAACGGCCCACCAAGGCGACGACGCGUAGCUGGUCUGAGAGGACGGCCAGCCACAUUGGGACUGAGACACUGCCCAGACUCCUACGGGGGGCUGCAGUAACGAAUCUUCCGCAAUGCACGAAAGUGUGACGGAGCGACGCCGCGUGGAGGUUAAGUCCUUCGGGAUGUAAACUCCUGUCAGGGGCUACCAAGUUCUGAGGAGCCCCAGAGGAAGGCACGGCUAACUCUGUGCCAGCAGCCGCGGUAAUACAGAGGUGCCGAGCGUUAGGCGGAAUCACUGGGCUUAAAGCGCGUGUAGGCGGGUCGUUAAGUGUCCGCGUGAAAUCCCACGGCUCAACCGUGGAACGGCCGGGCAGACUGGCGACCUUGAGGUGCUCAGGGGCGAGCGGAACGAACGGUGGAGCGGUGAAAUGCGUAGAUAUCGUUCGGAACGCCGACGGUGAAAACAGCUCGCUGGGAGCAUCCUGACGCUGAGACGCGAAAGCCAGGGGAGCGAACGGGAUUAGAUACCCCGGUAGUCCUGGCCCUAAACGAUGUCCACUACGUCAUGGCCGCUCUGACGCGGUCAUGGCCGGAGCAAA